This is a non-coding RNA of Podarcis lilfordi (Lilford's wall lizard), 74 nucleotides long. The record is from the annotation of a GenBank genome assembly. Lineage: Eukaryota; Metazoa; Chordata; Lepidosauria; Squamata; Lacertidae.
UUGGGGACAGUUCAAUGGUAGAGCAUGUGGUUUUCAUGCAGAAGGUCCCAGGUUCAAUCCCUGGCAUCUCCAAG